GAGCGUUCUAAGGGCGUUGAAGCAUGAUCGUAAGGACAUGUGGAGCGCUUAGAAGUGAGAAUGCCGGUGUGAGUAGCGAAAGACGGGUGAGAAUCCCGUCCACCGAUUGACUAAGGUUUCCAGAGGAAGGCUCGUCCGCUCUGGGUUAGUCGGGUCCUAAGCUGAGGCCGACAGGCGUAGGCGAUGGAUAACAGGUUGAUAUUCCUGUACCACCUAUAAUCGUUUUAAUCGAUGGGGGGACGCAGUAGGAUAGGCGAAGCGUGCGAUUGGAUUGCACGUCUAAGCAGUAAGGCUGAGUAUUAGGCAAAUCCGGUACUCAUUAAGGCUGAGCUGUGAUGGGGAGAAGACAUUGUGUCUUCGAGUCGUUGAUUUCACACUGCCGAGAAAAGCCUCUAGAUAGAAAAUAGGUGCCCGUACCGCAAACCGACACAGGUAGUCAAGAUGAGAAUUCUAAGGUGAGCGAGCGAACUCUCGUUAAGGAACUCGGCAAAAUGACCCCGUAACUUCGGGAGAAGGGGUGCUCUUUAGGGUUAACGCCCAGAAGAGCCGCAGUGAAUAGGCCCAAGCGACUGUUUAUCAAAAACACAGGUCUCUGCUAAACCGUAAGGUGAUGUAUAGGGGCUGACGCCUGCCCGGUGCUGGAAGGUUAAGAGGAGUGGUUAGCUUCUGCGAAGCUACGAAUCGAAGCCCCAGUAAACGGCGGCCGUAACUAUAACGGUCCUAAGGUAGCGAAAUUCCUUGUCGGGUAAGUUCCGACCCGCACGAAAGGCGUAACGAUUUGGGCACUGUCUCAACGAGAGACUCGGUGAAAUCAUAGUACCUGUGAAGAUGCAGGUUACCCGCGACAGGACGGAAAGACCCCGUGGAGCUUUACUGUAGCCUGAUAUUGAAAUUCGGCACAGCUUGUACAGGAUAGGUAGGAGCCUUUGAAACGUGAGCGCUAGCUUACGUGGAGGCGCUGGUGGGAUACUACCCUAGCUGUGUUGGCUUUCUAACCCGCACCACUUAUCGUGGUGGGAGACAGUGUCAGGCGGGCAGUUUGACUGGGGCGGUCGCCUCCUAAAAGGUAACGGAGGCGCUCAAAGGUUCCCUCAGAAUGGUUGGAAAUCAUUCAUAGAGUGUAAAGGCAUAAGGGAGCUUGACUGCGAGACCUACAAGUCGAGCAGGGUCGAAAGACGGACUUAGUGAUCCGGUGGUUCCGCAUGGAAGGGCCAUCGCUCAACGGAUAAAAGCUACCCCGGGGAUAACAGGCUUAUCUCCCCCAAGAGUUCACAUCGACGGGGAGGUUUGGCACCUCGAUGUCGGCUCAUCGCAUCCUGGGGCUGUAGUCGGUCCCAAGGGUUGGGCUGUUCGCCCAUUAAAGCGGUACGCGAGCUGGGUUCAGAACGUCGUGAGACAGUUCGGUCCCUAUCCGUCGUGGGCGUAGGAAAUUUGAGAGGAGCUGUCCUUAGUACGAGAGGACCGGGAUGGACAUACCUCUGGUGUACCAGUUGUCGUGCCAACGGCAUAGCUGGGUAGCUAUGUGUGGACGGGAUAAGUGCUGAAAGCAUCUAAGCAUGAAGCCCCCCUCAAGAUGAGAUUUCCCAACUUCGGUUAUAAGAUCCCUCAAAGAUGAUGAGGUUAAUAGGUUCGAGGUGGAAGCAUGGUGACAUGUGGAGCUGACGAAUACUAA
RNAcentral lists this ribosomal RNA (1672 nucleotides) under Staphylococcus aureus. Its description in RNAcentral is "partial 23S ribosomal RNA". It matches the Rfam family "Bacterial large subunit ribosomal RNA", at positions 1234 to 2904 of the family's 2925-position model. Lineage: Bacteria; Bacillati; Bacillota; Bacilli; Caryophanales; Staphylococcaceae. The record is from RNAcentral.